AUCUAGCCCCGAUGGAAGCGGUAUCUCCCGAUUUAGAAAAACAAGGCUAUUUCAGCCGUAGUUUUUGUUGAUCGGGAAUUUAGCGGACAGCGGGAGUAAAA
Molecule: small RNA, 101 nt
Filed under: Flavobacterium nitrogenifigens
Lineage: Bacteria; Pseudomonadati; Bacteroidota; Flavobacteriia; Flavobacteriales; Flavobacteriaceae
Description: Flavo-1 RNA
Rfam family: Flavo-1 RNA
Source: RNAcentral